Molecule: non-coding RNA, 29 nt
Filed under: Mus musculus (house mouse)
Lineage: Eukaryota; Metazoa; Chordata; Mammalia; Rodentia; Muridae
Source: RNAcentral
GUGGUCCUAGCUACUCAGGAAUCUGAGGC